UUGAGUUGCACGCUCUAGACCCGAAGCGGAGUGAUCUAGCCAUGGGCAGGUUGAAGCGGCUGUAAGAGGUCGUGGAGGACCGAACCCACCAGGGUUGAAAACCUGGGGGAUGACCUGUGGUUAGGGGUGAAAGGCCAAUCAAACUCCGUGAUAGCUGGUUCUCCCCGAAAUGCAUUUAGGUGCAGCGUCGUGUGUUUCUUGCCGGAGGUAGAGCACUGGAUAGGCGAUGGGCCCUACCGGGUUACUGACCUUAGCCAAACUCCGAAUGCCGGUAAGUGAGAGCGCGGCAGUGAGACUGUGGGGGAUAAGCUCCAUGGUCGAGAGGGAAACAGCCCAGAGCAUCGACUAAGGCCCCUAAGCGUACGCUAAGUGGGAAAGGAUGUGGAGUCGCAGAGACAACCAGGAGGUUGGCUUAGAAGCAGCCACCCUUGAAAGAGUGCGUAAUAGCUCACUGGUCUAGUGAUUCCGCGCCGACAAUGUAGCGGGGCUCAAGCGUACCGCCGAAGUCGUGUCAUUGCAGCAUGAGGGCCAACGCCCGCUGUGAUGGGUAGGGGAGCGUCGUGUGCCGGGUGAAGCAGCCGUGGAAGCGAGUUGUGGACGGUUCACGAGUGAGAAUAAUGGCAUGAGUAGCGAUUCACACGUGAGAAACGUGUGCGCCGAUUGACUAAGGGUUCCUGGGUCAAGCUGAUCUGCCCAGGGUAAGUCGGGACCUAAGGCGAGGCCGACAGGCGUAGUCGAUGGAUAACCGGUUGAUAUUCCGGUACCCGCUGUGAAGCGUCAAACAUUGAAUCCAGUGAUGCUAAGCCCGUGAAGCCGUUCCGGACCCUUCGGGGAAUGGAAAGUGGUGGAGCCGGUGGCCCGAGCUGGUAGUAGGUGAGUGAUGGGGUGACGCAGGAAGGUAGUCCAUCCCGGGCGGUGGUUGUCCCGGGGUAAGGGUGUAGGACGUCAGGUAGGUAAAUCCGCCUGGCAAUAGUCUGAGACCUGAUGCCGAGCCGAUUGUGGUGAAGUGGAUGAUCCUAUGCUGUCGAGAAAAGCCUCUAGCGAGUUUCAUGGCGGCCCGUACCCUAAACCGACUCAGGUGGUCAGGUAGAGAAUACCGAGGCGUUCGGGUGAACUAUGGUUAAGGAACUCGGCAAAAUGCCCCCGUAACUUCGGGAGAAGGGGGGCCAUGUCUGGUGAUGAGUCUUGCACUCUGAGCUGGGUGUGGCCGCAGAGACCAGCGAGAAGCGACUGUUUACUAAAAACACAGGUCCGUGCGAAGCCGUAAGGCGAUGUAUACGGACUGACGCCUGCCCGGUGCUGGAACGUUAAGGGGACCGGUUAGUCACAUUUCGGUGUGGCGAAGCUGAGAACUUAAGCGCCAGUAAACGGCGGUGGUAACUAUAACCAUCCUAAGGUAGCGAAAUUCCUUGUCGGGUAAGUUCCGACCUGCACGAAUGGCGUAACGACUUCUCGACUGUCUCAACCAUAGGCCCGGUGAAAUUGCAUUACGAGUAAAGAUGCUCGUUUCGCGCAGCAGGACGGAAAGACCCCGGGACCUUUACUACAGUUUGAUAUUGGUGUUCGGUUCGGCUUGUGUAGGAUAGGUGGGAGACUGUGAAGCAUGCACGCCAGUGUGUGUGGAGUCGUCGUUGAAAUACCACUCUGGUCGUGCUGGAUGUCUAACCUGGGUCCGUGAUCCGGAUCAGGGACAGUGUCUGAUGGGUAGUUUAACUGGGGCGGUUGCCUCCUAAAGAGUAACGGAGGCGCCCAAAGGUUCCCUCAGCCUGGUUGGUAAUCAGGUGUUGAGUGUAAGUGCACAAGGGAGCUUGACUGUGAGACCGACGGGUCGAGCAGGGACGAAAGUCGGGACUAGUGAUCCGGCGGUGGCUUGUGGAAGCGCCGUCGCUCAACGGAUAAAAGGUACCCCGGGGAUAACAGGCUGAUCUUCCCCAAGAGUCCAUAUC
This 1946-nucleotide ribosomal RNA is filed under the name Streptomyces albidoflavus. Its description in RNAcentral is "partial 23S ribosomal RNA". It matches the Rfam family "Bacterial large subunit ribosomal RNA", at positions 695 to 2506 of the family's 2925-position model. Lineage: Bacteria; Bacillati; Actinomycetota; Actinomycetes; Kitasatosporales; Streptomycetaceae. The record is from RNAcentral.